UGGGGCGUAGCCAAGUUGGUAAGGCACAAGACUUUGGAUCUUGCAUACCUAGGUUCGAAUCCUAGCGCCCCAG
This 73-nucleotide transfer RNA is filed under the name candidate division Zixibacteria bacterium RBG-1. It matches the Rfam family "tRNA". Rfam says of the family: Transfer RNA (tRNA) molecules are approximately 80 nucleotides in length. Their secondary structure includes four short double-helical elements and three loops (D, anti-codon, and T loops). Further hydrogen bonds mediate the characteristic L-shaped molecular structure. tRNAs have two regions of fundamental functional importance: the anti-codon, which is responsible for specific mRNA codon recognition, and the 3' end, to which the tRNAs corresponding amino acid is attached (by aminoacyl-tRNA synthetases). tRNAs cope with the degeneracy of the genetic code in two manners: having more than one tRNA (with a specific anti-codon) for a particular amino acid; and 'wobble' base-pairing, i.e. permitting non-standard base-pairing at the 3rd anti-codon position. RNAcentral also lists the same sequence under 2 other names. Lineage: Bacteria; Pseudomonadati; Candidatus Zixiibacteriota. The record is from Rfam by way of RNAcentral.